AUCCAGCGAACUUGGCAGAGAUGCCUUGGUGCCUUCGGAACGCUGAGACAGGUGCUGCAUGGCUGUCGUCAGCUCGUGUUGUGAAGUGUGGGUUAAGUCCCGNAACGAGCGCAACCCUUAUCCUUUGUUGCCAGCGAUUCGGUCGGGAACUCAAAGGAGACUGCCGGUGAUAAACCGGAGGAAGGUGGGGAUGACGUCAAGUCAUCAUGGCCCUUACGAGUAGGGCUACACACGUGCUACAAUGGCGCAUACAAAGAGAAGCGACCUCGCGAGAGCAAGCGGACCUCAUAAAGUGCGUCGUAGUCCGGAUCGGAGUCUGCAACUCGACUCCGUGAAGUCGGAAUCGCUAGUAAUCGUGGAUCAGAAUGCCACGGUGAAUACGUUCCCGGGCCUUGUACACACCGCCCGUCACACCAUGGGAGUGGGUUGCAAAAGAAGUAGGUAGCUUAACCUUCGGGAGGGCGCUUACCACUUUGUGAUUCAUGACUGGGGUGAAGUCGUAACAAGGUAAGCGUAGCGAG
RNAcentral lists this ribosomal RNA (521 nucleotides) under uncultured bacterium. Its description in RNAcentral is "bacterial SSU rRNA". It matches the Rfam family "Bacterial small subunit ribosomal RNA", at positions 986 to 1509 of the family's 1533-position model. The record is from RNAcentral.